CGCAAGCCUGACGGAGCAAGACCGCGUGCGGGAUGACGGCCUAAUGGUUGUAAACCGCUUUUCUCUGGGAAGAUGAUGACGGUACCAGAGGAAUCAGCCUCGGCUAACUCCGUGCCAGCAGCCGCGGUAAUACGGAGGAGGCAAGUGUUAUCCGGAAUUAUUGGGCGUAAAGCGUCCGUAGGUGGUUAUUCAAGUCUGCUGUCAAAGCGUGGGGCUUAACUCCAUAGAGGCAGUGGAAACUGGAUGACUUGAGUGCGGUAGGGGUCGAGGGAAUUCCCAGCGUAGCGGUGAAAUGCGUAGAUAUUGGGAAGAACACCAGUGGCGAAAGCGCUCGACUGGGCCUGCACUGACACUGAGGGACGAAAGCUAGGGGAGCG
RNAcentral lists this ribosomal RNA (377 nucleotides) under uncultured cyanobacterium. RNAcentral describes it as "bacterial SSU rRNA". It matches the Rfam family "Bacterial small subunit ribosomal RNA", at positions 376 to 770 of the family's 1533-position model. Lineage: Bacteria; Bacillati; Cyanobacteriota. The record is from RNAcentral.